GAUGAACGCUGGCGGCGUGCCUAAUACAUGCAAGUCGAGCGAACAGACGAGGAGCUUGCUCCUCUGACGUUAGCGGCGGACGGGUGAGUAACACGUGUAUAACCCACCUAUAAGACUGGGAUAACUUCGGGAAACCGGAGCUAAUACCGGAUAAUAUAUUGAACCGCAUGGUUCAAUAGUGAAAGACGGUUUUGCUGUCACUUAUAGAUGGAUCCGCGCCGCAUUAGCUAGUUGGUAAGUUAACGGCUUACCAAGGCGACGAUGCGUAGCCGACCUGAGAGAGUGAUCGGCCACACUGGAACUGAGACACGGUCCAGACUCCUACGGGAGGCAGCAGUAGGGAAUCUUCCGCAAUGGGCGAAAGCCUGACGGAGCAACGCCGCGUGAGUGAUGACGGUCUUCGGAUCGUAAAACUCUGUUAUUAGGGAAGAACAAAUGUGUAAGUAACUAUGCACGUCUUGACGGUACCUAAUCAGAAAGCCACGGCUAACUACGUG
RNAcentral lists this ribosomal RNA (497 nucleotides) under uncultured bacterium. RNAcentral's name for it is "partial 16S ribosomal RNA". It matches the Rfam family "Bacterial small subunit ribosomal RNA", at positions 28 to 507 of the family's 1533-position model. The record is from RNAcentral.